Molecule: ribosomal RNA, 866 nt
Filed under: uncultured bacterium
Lineage: Bacteria
Description: bacterial SSU rRNA
Rfam family: Bacterial small subunit ribosomal RNA
Source: RNAcentral
GCAGCUACACAUGCAAGUCGAGCGGUAGCACAGAGAGCUUGCUCUCGGGUGACGAGCGGCGGACGGGUGAGUAAUGUCUGGGAAACUGCCUGAUGGAGGGGGAUAACUACUGGAAACGGUAGCUAAUACCGCAUAACGUCGCAAGACCAAAGAGGGGGACCUUCGGGCCUCUUGCCAUCAGAUGUGCCCAGAUGGGAUUAGCUAGUAGGUGGGGUAACGGCUCACCUAGGCGACGAUCCCUAGCUGGUCUGAGAGGAUGACCAGCCACACUGGAACUGAGACACGGUCCAGACUCCUACGGGAGGCAGCAGUGGGGAAUAUUGCACAAUGGGCGCAAGCCUGAUGCAGCCAUGCCGCGUGUAUGAAGAAGGCCUUCGGGUUGUAAAGUACUUUCAGCGGGGAGGAAGGCGUUGUGGUUAAUAACCACAGCGAUUGACGUUACCCGCAGAAGAAGCGCCGGCUAACUCCGUGCCAGCAGCCGCGGUAAUACGGAGGGUGCGAGCGUUAAUCGGAAUUACUGGGCGUAAAGCGCACGCAGGCGGUCUGUCAAGUCGGAUGUGAAAUCCCCGGGCUCAACCUGGGAACUGCAUUCGAAACUGGCAGGCUAGAGUCUUGUAGAGGGGGGUAGAAUUCCAGGUGUAGCGGUGAAAUGCGUAGAGAUCUGGAGGAAUACCGGUGGCGAAAGCGGCCCCCUGGACAAAGACUGACGCUCAGUGCGAAAGCGUGGGGAGCAAACAGGAUUAGAUACCCUGGUAGUCCACGCCGUAACGAUGUCGACUUGGAGGUUGUGCCCUUGAGCGUGCUUCCGGAGCUAACGCGUUAAGUCGACGCCUGGGGAGUACGGCCGCAAGGUAAACUCAAUGAAA